GCAGGCACAACAGGGCAGCACCUGCCCGUCACAGUUUCACCAGCAGGGAAAUUCACAGGACCCCAACAUACAUAUUUCUAAACCGACGGUCCGAAACAACCUGGACUCACAUUGUGACAUCACAGGGCCACCAAUGGGUGGAUUCUCAAAAGCAAGACAUGAACAGGAACUCAGAGUGGCAUUACUCACAGCUGAGAUCCCAGCAAAUGUAGAUUCUGAAAUACUGUCAGAAAGUAUAAAGGCUGUUCACAUGCAAGACAAGAACUCAUACAGCCAGGCCCUCUGUUACGCCGCCCUGCCCCGGAGCCAGCUGACCAGGGACUGAAGACCUCUACAAGCUGAAAGAGAAAGAGGAAAAUCCUGUUGUCUCAGUGCUGACCACGAGUGGGCACCCUCGAGCUUCGGCAGUGGUUAUCUUUGGCCAGCAUGGGAACCGCUGAUCCAAAAUCUCCUCAGGUCUGGAGGACACCCAACCCCCAGGAGCUGAAGCAGUUCACAUCCGAACUACUGAAGGCAGCAGGAAAUGAAUGGUCAGAGGCCAGCCCAAGUGGAGGGAAGAUGCCACAGAGCAAAAAUAAAGAGCAAAGCAGAACUGGGCACUGCGAGACAGGUGUAUCUGCCACUCCCAUUCCCCUCUCUAGUUCAGGGCCACCAAAAUUUUACCCCUCCUUUGGCUAAGCAAGCCCUCACUUAUCCUCUUUCUCUUUCUCCUCCUUCUCUUCCCUCUCUCCUUUUGCCUUGACGGCAGCUCCUUUGUCACCCUCCACACCUUAGGAUAAGGUCUAUGAGCCACUGCAACUGCCCAGCCAGGCUCUGAGGUACCGUGCAAGGCUUAGCUGCCAGGGGAACACUCAGCACAG
This is a long non-coding RNA of Cavia porcellus (domestic guinea pig), 860 nucleotides long. RefSeq lists it as uncharacterized. The transcript has 3 exons. The record is from RefSeq and is a predicted model, not a curated record. Lineage: Eukaryota; Metazoa; Chordata; Mammalia; Rodentia; Caviidae.